CGUGGAGGUCCGAACCCACGAGCGUUGAAAAGCUCGGGGAUGACUUGUGGGUAGCGGUGAAAUUCCAAUCGAGCCCGGAGAUAGCUGGUUCGCCCCGAAAUAGCUUUAGGGCUAGCCUCAAGGUGAGGGAUACGGAGGUAGAGCACUGAAUGUCCUAGGGGGUAUUGCACCUACCGAAGACUAUCAAACUCCGAAUGCCGUCAUCUUAUACUUGGGAGU
Molecule: ribosomal RNA, 219 nt
Filed under: Clostridioides difficile
Lineage: Bacteria; Bacillati; Bacillota; Clostridia; Peptostreptococcales; Peptostreptococcaceae
Description: partial 23S ribosomal RNA
Rfam family: Bacterial large subunit ribosomal RNA
Source: RNAcentral